This 654-nucleotide long non-coding RNA is filed under the name Callithrix jacchus (white-tufted-ear marmoset). Its description in RNAcentral is "lncRNA (ENSCJAG00000075487.1)". The record is from RNAcentral. Lineage: Eukaryota; Metazoa; Chordata; Mammalia; Primates; Cebidae.
CCCCUCUUUCUAAAUGGGUAGCCAUUCAUCUUCAGUAUGUACCCUUUUCAAAUGCAUCCUGAACCCUUGGGACUCCUUUAAAAAACAUCUUUUUCCCUUCUUCUCCUUGGUUCUCUCUUCACUAAUAGGUAAUUGUGACCCUGUACUAUAUGACACUACCCUCAGAUGCAUCCUCUAAAAUGGAAAGAGUGAAUUUCCCAAACUUUAAACUCAUUGGCUGAGGAUACGGCCCAGCGGAAGGGAACCCAGACGCCCAACAUCCUGGCAAAAGGGAUUAGGAUGAUCCUUUCCUCUGGAUAUAAGGAAGACACUCUGGAAUAAAGGUUUUAGAAUGACCACUUUAGAGGAAAGACAGAAUCCUUGUAUAUCCUGCCUUAGGAAAACAUAGGUGAAAGAGGUGAGAGUGAAUGUCUUGCUUCUGCUGUUUCCUCAAAGCCAAGGAGUUAUAUUUUGGGGUAGCAUAUCCUGAACCACAUCAUAAACAUGCAUCACCUUCUGCAGAGGCAACUGAUACUUCUUGUGAAUACUUUCAAAGAUAUUUUGUGCAUAUGCUAGCAAAUAUAUGUAAAUAUAAUAUCUUCUCCCCUUACAGUCUUGCUUAUUUCAGUUAACAAUAUUGAAUUGAUCUCAUUCCUCAUUAGUACAUAUGGUGUU